RNAcentral lists this ribosomal RNA (253 nucleotides) under uncultured bacterium. RNAcentral describes it as "partial 16S ribosomal RNA". It matches the Rfam family "Bacterial small subunit ribosomal RNA", at positions 524 to 776 of the family's 1533-position model. The record is from RNAcentral.
UACGGGGGGGGCAAGCGUUGUUCGGAAUUACUGGGCGUAAAGGGCGCGUAGGCGGCUCGCUAAGUCGGAUGUGAAAACUCUGGGCUCAACCCAGAGCCUGCAUUCGAAACUGACGAGCUCGAGUUCUGGAGGGGAAAGCGGAAUUCCUGGUGUAGCGGUGGAAUGCGUAGAUAUCAGGAGGAACACCGGUGGCGAAGGCGGCUUUCUGGACAGAAACUGACGCUGAUGCGCGAAAGCUAGGGGAGCAAACAGG